This 330-nucleotide ribosomal RNA is filed under the name Triticum aestivum (bread wheat). RNAcentral's name for it is "partial small subunit ribosomal RNA". Lineage: Eukaryota; Viridiplantae; Streptophyta; Magnoliopsida; Poales; Poaceae. The record is from RNAcentral.
AUGACCAAGGCUCUUCUGAACGAGAGCCUGGCAGAUUGCAUGAAAGCGGGCUUAAGUCCUUUCUGCAAGGCUAACCCGGCUCCAGCGGCUGGUGAUAAAUUCUGGAAGGUCAAGUAUGACCAUGAGGCUGCAAAGAAAGCCAGAAAGGCCAAGAAAGCCGCCAGGAAAGCCGCUGCCCGUAAGAAGGGGAACAAACCUAGCGCCUCGGAUAUGUUUCAUCUGGACGAUACCUCCCAGUCAGAGGAGGAUACAGGAGCAAGUCAUGCAGUAAUUGAAGAGGUAACUAUAAUUUCCUCCGACUCCGAGCCUUUGCCGAGACAGAAAGUCUGA